UACGUAGGGUGCAAGCGUUUGUCCGGAAUUAUUGGGCGUAAAGAGCUCGUAGGUGGUUUGUCGCGUUGUCCGUGAAAACUCACAACUCAAUUGUGGGCGUGCGGGCGAUACGGGCAGACUGGAGUACUGCAGGGGAGACUGGAAUUCCUGGUGUAGCGGUGGAAUGCGCAGAUAUCAGGAGGAACACCGGUGGCGAAGGCGGGUCUCUGGGCAGUAACUGACGCUGAGGAGCGAAAGCGUGGGGAGCGAACAGG
RNAcentral lists this ribosomal RNA (254 nucleotides) under uncultured bacterium. Its description in RNAcentral is "partial 16S ribosomal RNA". It matches the Rfam family "Bacterial small subunit ribosomal RNA", at positions 524 to 776 of the family's 1533-position model. The record is from RNAcentral.